CUCUCCUCUCACCCUCCAACCCCCAACUGCUUUUCUCUUCUCCCACCCUCCAACCCCCAGCUGCUUUCCUCUACUCCUACCCUCCAAACCCCAGCUGCUUUCCUCUCCUCUCACCCUCCAACCCCAGUGAUCGCAAAAACGCGCUAUAGCGCGUUUUUUACCCGUUUUUGAAGACAUGGGACUCCAGUUUACAAAGUGGUCGGGUCCCCGGGGACGCGCUCCUCAUUCCGCCAAUCUGUAAGGGGGAUUUGUUUAACUGACACGCUGGCCUCGGGCUGAAUGAUAUAAAGAGGAGGUGGAGCCAGUUUCCCCUCCUCUUUGGCGCCUGGCUGCUUGCGGAGGCCGGGUGACUCGGUGUCGCUGCCAAAGUCCCUUUUCUUCCAUCGAUUCUCCACUAUACAAUAUAAUUCAGGCACGUCUGAGGAUAAGCCAAUACAUCCCAUUGCUUUUGGUUGCCACAAGGAAUAAGAAGAAUGACCUGGAAUAAGAUAGCUACAAUAGAAACACAGCUCAGCUACAGAGAUCAGAAAAAAUAAUUCAUCUGUCUGCAACAGCUGCUUGAUGGAAUCACUGAAAAUGAUCAGAGAAUAACCAUCUCCUUUCAAAACAGAGCCUACAGUAGCCACAGGAAUCAUCUACAGCUGAGAUACCAGUGAAUUCCAGUUGCUUUUCGAGAGGCAAACCAGUGGGAUGUUAUUAGUCCUGCAAUCUGUGGUUUUUAUCACCUUUACUGGGAAACUAUUUUUUAUUUAAUUUUUUUUUUUAUGUGGUUGUAGGAGAGACAUCAGUAUAAGAUUGCCCCCAACCCCCUGUUAUAUGUUAAAAAUGUAAUGGUUUCUGCAGUGCAAGGAGCUAUGGACACAAUUUUAAAAAGAGGUUUCUGCUAUUUCAUAUUUGUGUGCCCCUGAAUUAAAUGAAACCUUGAUGGCACAAUGAUAUUGCCACCAGUAAUAAUAAUUACCUGUGGGGUAAGCACUUACUGAUAGCCCAGCAGUGCUGC
Long non-coding RNA from Pseudophryne corroboree (corroboree frog), 1000 nucleotides. RefSeq lists it as uncharacterized. The record is from RefSeq and is a predicted model, not a curated record. NCBI's taxonomy places the organism in Eukaryota, Metazoa, Chordata, Amphibia, Anura, Myobatrachidae. The transcript is spliced from 3 exons.